CACGUAGGGGCCGAGCGUUGUCCGGAUUCAUUGGGCGUAAAGCGCGCGUAGGCGGCUCGGAAAGUCGGGCGUGAAAUGCCUCGGCUUAACCGGGGAACUGCGUCUGAUACUGGAUGGCUUGAGUUCGGGAGAGGGAUGCGGAAUUCCAGGUGUAGCGGUGAAAUGCGUAGAUAUCUGGAGGAACACCGGUGGCGAAGGCGGCAUCCUGGACCGACACUGACACUGAGGAGCGAAAGCCAGGGGAGCAAACGGG
This 253-nucleotide ribosomal RNA is filed under the name uncultured bacterium. RNAcentral describes it as "partial 16S ribosomal RNA". It matches the Rfam family "Bacterial small subunit ribosomal RNA", at positions 524 to 776 of the family's 1533-position model. The record is from RNAcentral.